UACGGAGGGUGCAAGCGUUGCUCGGAAUUAUUGGGCGUAAAGCGCACGCAGGCGGUCGAUUAAGUCGGUUGUGAAACGCCCGGGCUCAACCCGGGACCUGCAGCCGAUACUGGUUGACUGGAGUACGGAAGAGGGGAGCGGAAUUCCCAGUGUAGAGGUGAAAUUCGUAGAGAUUGGGAGGAACACCGGUGGCGAAAGCGGCUCCCUGGUCCGAUACUGACGCUCAGGUGCGAAAGCGUGGGGAGCAAACAGG
RNAcentral lists this ribosomal RNA (253 nucleotides) under uncultured bacterium. Its description in RNAcentral is "partial 16S ribosomal RNA". It matches the Rfam family "Bacterial small subunit ribosomal RNA", at positions 524 to 776 of the family's 1533-position model. The record is from RNAcentral.